UGGGGACAUCGCGAUCUCCCCACGAGGCGACAUGCCCAAGUAUCGC
Molecule: non-coding RNA, 46 nt
Filed under: Bradyrhizobium sp. ORS 285
Lineage: Bacteria; Pseudomonadati; Pseudomonadota; Alphaproteobacteria; Hyphomicrobiales; Nitrobacteraceae
Also listed under: 1 other name
Source: RNAcentral